CCCCUAGAUGUUCUGGGCCGCACGCGCGCUACACUGAACAGUUCAACAAGUCUUAACCUUGGCCGAUAGGUCUGGGUAAUCUUUGAACGCUGUUCGUGAUUGGGAUAGACCUUUGCAAUUAUGGGUCUUCAACGAGGAAUUCAUAGUAAACGCAAGUCAUCAGCUUGCAUUGAUUACGUCCCUGCCCUUUGUACACACCGCCCGUCGCACCUACCGAUUGAAUGGUCCGGUGAAAUCUCGGGACGGCGGCUUGGUCGCUUGCGUCCGACUGCUGAAACUUGAUUAAACCAUAUCAUUUAGAGGAAGGUGAAGUCGUAACA
This 320-nucleotide ribosomal RNA is filed under the name uncultured eukaryote. RNAcentral describes it as "partial 18S ribosomal RNA". It matches the Rfam family "Eukaryotic small subunit ribosomal RNA", at positions 1470 to 1796 of the family's 1831-position model. The record is from RNAcentral.